GAGUGAAGCCCUGACAGUUCCCAGACCCUCUGCAUUAUCACCCAAGGAAUCCAGCUUCCAGGACCAGCCCGGGGUAGGAGAAACAGAAAUGGAGACAGAGCCCAGCUCCCAUCAGCCCACGGAUACACAUCAAGCCGGGAGGGUGAACACCACAUUCUUUGCCGGACCUGGUUCCCGCCCCUCUGGUUCCUGCGGGUCCCCUCUCCCGAGGGGGGGGAAGGAGUCUGCCUCUCAAGUUCUUUCCAUGUCCCCUCCCAGCCUUUGUCUCGGUCUUUGGGCCUUUUUGUCACCCCAGGGGCUUCGUAGUCUCAGGCGGGGCCUGUGCUUGGGAACCUGGAGGGAGACCUCAGAUUUUAAUCAGUAUGUGGGUAUCUCUUUGGGUUCGUGCUGUGGGAUUUUGACCUCUGCCGUGGGCCUCUGUACCCUGUGUCUUCGGGAUGGUACAGCGCUCCCCAGCACUGGGCCAAUCCAAUGCGAACAGCUAAUGCCAUCCAACACGUGGCGCUGGGCACCCCAAGUACUGAAAGAAUAGUCCGGGCGGGUGGCGCUAAUCAGAGGUGCCCAGAGGAGGGGGCAUCGGCAGCCAGCGGGUGCCGCGGUUACAGAGAAGGCCUCAGGGAGCAGGCGGGGUUCGCCUACUUGAGGGAAGCGUGGGAAAUGGGGGACAGAGAGGUGUGGGCAGGAGGCAGCGUGGGAACCAUUGCUUGGGAUCAGCUCAGGUGAAGCAGAGGGUUUAGAGAAGGGGGAGAUGGGAGAGUUAAAGGCUGAGACAAUUAUGGGGGUGGUGGGAGAGAUGGAAUGCAGGGCUAAGGAGGCUGGAUUUUAUACCCUCAACAGUGGGAAGACCUUCAAGGUGUAUACCAUUGGGGGAGGGAUUAGAGAUGGGGGACAGAUGCCCAUUUAAAGGUAAUUUGGGGGAUCCCUGGGGGGCUCAGCGGUUUGGCGCCUGCCUUUGGCCCAGGGCGCGAUUCUGGAGACCCUGGAUCGAAUCCCACAUUGGGCUCCCGGUGCAUGGAGCCUGCUUCUCCCUCUACCUGUGUGUCUGCCUCUCUCUCUCUCUCUCUGUGACUAUCAUAAAUGAAUAAGAAAUAAAAAAUAAAAAAAGGUAAUUCGGGCAGCAGGGCGAGGGUCCCAUGCUCUCUUACCACCCCACACCUCCCCCUCGGCUGGUACCCUUGUCUCAGCCAGCCCAGCAGUCCCUGGAGUGAAGAUCUGGAAUCCGAGUGACUCUCAGACCCUGCGUCCACAUUGCCUAGGGGUUCUGUCCACAGUAAAGCUUGGACCUCAAAGCCUUUCUGCCUUUCAGGUAGCGUAGGACGGGAUGAACUGUUCCGGGCCGGAGUGCCUGGCAUCCUUCAGGGAAGGGUCCAGUUGAUUGUGGGCACCUGGCUCUCACCUUGGCCGGGAGAUGGUUUGGAACAAGCUCACUGGGUCCCUGGGGACACGCUGGAGGUUCAGUCACCUACAGAGGCGCCCCAAAGUGUCCCCACUUCUCCUUGCGAUCCACAGACACAAGCUUCACUGACCCCCACUUUUCCUCCCUUCUCCUCCCUCAGGGGUCAGGUCUUGGGAAGAGUCCACUGGAAGGCAGAGCCACGCUGAGUCCUGGGGUCUGGGAGAAUGUCUCAGGGACAGCGGAUGGAGGCGGUGACCUCUCCAGGGUUGUUCUUCUGUGGGCACUGGCUGGACGCGUUGGCUUCCGUCUCUGGGAAUCUGGGCCUGUGCCAUCUGGAGCUGCUCCUACACGAAGGGAUUCAUCUUUCUCUUUGCCCCAAGGCGGGCCACUUGCCUUUCUUCAUGUCCUGGUUCUCCCCACUUACCCAUUUCUUCUUCAGGGCGGGGCUGGAAAGGUGGGGGACACGCGGCUCAGCUCUGAGCUUGGUGCGGUGGUGCUCUCUGCAGGCCCUUCUGUCUUGGGGCCGGGGUGUCAUUUGGCCCCUGGGACUCUGGGACCACAGAUGCCUCCAUCUCUCUCUCUCUCUCUCUCUCUCUCUCUCUCUCUCUCUCUCUCUAACUAGCAGGCUUCUAAAUAUCAAGGAAGAGGGGGUAUUUUCAUAGUAUUAAAUCGAUGUCCCCACCUCCGUGGUCCCCACGUCCUCUCCAAAAAUGGCCCCUGCUUUACUUCUGGAAGGGGAUUUCUCUAUGGGUCAAGGCAGGUGACUCUCUAAGCCCUGGCUCCCAUCACCACUCUCUGCCCCCAUCCUCUGCCCACCCACAUUCCACUCAUCCUUUGCUAUCAGCAAGAUGCACGGCCUCCAGGAAGCACCCGCCCUUUCCCUGGCCUCUCCUCCUCCUCUGUAAUCCUUGGUGCACCUCUCCUCUCCGAUGACAAAACAGGGCAGACUCUGGGGGAACCUUGGUACCCCGUGGCUUCCUGUGGCUGGGUUAGUCUGGUUUGCCUCGGCCACACGUCAUAGUCCUCAAGGGCAGCACCUGCAUUUCCUCCUUGGUGGGGUGGGGGUGAGGUGGGAGAGAGGCUGAUGGGAGGGGUUGGAGGGAGGAAAGAGGAAUGGUGUGGUGUGUGUGCAUGAGAGAGAGAGAGAGAGAGAGAGAGAGAGGGAGAACAGGGGUAGAAACGCCCAGCUGCAGAGGUUGUGAGGACAGGGCCUGUCCCCUAGACUCCUGCCAGCCCCUCAAGGCUAAGCCCCCACUGAUUAUAUAUCUGCUCUCUGGUGUAUAAUUUGCAUUUGGUGUAUUAUGUGCAUAGAUGACGAUAUGCUCCCCUCCCUUAAUGUGCAAGGUGUAUCACAUCUCAGGGCCCCGGAAGAUGUUCUCUUAGUCUAGGGUCCUGGGCCCCCAGGCCUGCUUGAGGACUGGGACCUGAGCUCCUGCCCCACGGUCUCUAAACCUGCCGCAAGCAGGAACCAGAUGGACCCGUUUGGUAAGCUGGGGAAGGCUCUGCAAACGCGUGGGGCCUCUCUUGGGGCUCAGCCCCCAGGAUCACAGCCCCUCUGGGUGGCGUGGCCUGCUGCUCUGACUGCCCGGCCCCGCGCAUCCCCAGACCCCCUGUCUGGGGCAGGGGUGAGGCUGGGAGCCCCCGGACUGCAGGGAGCACCUGAGCAAGUCCCUCGGGGGAGCAGAAACCCACCUCGCGCGGCUGCCCUGACGUUGGUCCCGCGGUGCCCCCAGGGGUCGCGAAGAUGGGUCCACUUUCCCUUCUAAAUGACAAUCCUGCAGAUAUUUUGACAUCACGGAAAGUGGAAGGGAACUCCGUGGAGAUGGAAGGCUAAAUGGGGAGGGAAACAGGCCCAGGGAGGGUAGCAUCCUGUGAAAGCUGCCGGUAAGUCGGGGAGCCCAUCUGCCGUUGCCUAGGACAAGUUUCUCCCCUCCCCACCUCCCUUUCCUCCAGGUCAGACUCUCCUCUCCUCUCCCCUGACAUCGAGUGUAAUCUGCUAGGUCCACUCUUGCUUUGCCACCUGUGUGUGCCCCUUCUGUCCCUCCCCGAGUUCGUCCCGUAGAGCACACGUCGUGUUGCCCAGAGGGGCCUAGCAUGGCAUUGGGGGGGGGGGUGUCAGGAAAUACCAUGCAAGGGGCCCGACGUGGGCUCCAAGAGAGAGAGAGGCAGAGACACAGGCAGAGGGAGAAGCAGGCCCCAUGCAGGGAGCCCGAUGUGGGACUCGAUCCUGGGACCCCAGGAUCAUGCCCUGGGCUGAAGGCAGGUGCCAAACCGCUGAGCCACCCAGGGAUCCCCAAGGCCCUAAGCAUUCCUGAAUGACAGCAAGAUUUAUAGUUUUAGCACUUUCCCAUGACAGCCCUUUCAGUGACUGAGGGAGACUGUGUGAUUUCUGUGCCCAGAAGAACUGGUGGCAGGUACCUGGCCAGAGCGUCAGGCUCAUUCCACAGGCUUGCUUAUUUGUCCCAGGGCCUUCGUGGCAGGUAGGAUUUUCCCUUGGCUAGAAUGACUUAGAAAGGCCCUUGGGGUUUCUUAAAGCUGUGGGCUUGGCGGAGGGGACCGCCUUGGAGCCAGGACCUUCAGCCGUCCUCCCGCUGUGCUCUGUUUCUUGGUACAGGGAAGCUCCAGAGGGAGGAGGAUGGGUGUGGACAGCUCCAACUGUCCCUCUACUUGCCAGUUCCUCCUUCCCUUGGGUGUUCUGCCCCCAGAGCCCUACCCUGGUAGCUUUUUUGUUCCUCUAUUUGUUGAUUCAUUCAAAAGCUAAUGAGACUGGGCACCUGGGUGGCUCAGCAGUUGGGCAUCUGCCUUGGGCCCAGGGUGUGACCCCUCGGGAUCCCAGGAUCCAGUCCCCACAUCGGGCUCCCCACAGGGAGCCUGCUUCUCCCUCUGCCUUUGUCUGUGCCUCUCUCUGUGUAUCUCAUGAAUAAAUAAAUAAAAUCUUAAAGGAAAAAAACAACAACAAAAGCUAUUGAGAGCUGAUUGCUGAAUUCAGAAAUUUUGCUUGCCAGAAUUAAACCCCUUAGUAGCUUGAAAUCGACCACUGUGGGAGUAUUUACACUAGAGAAAUUGGAAAAUGCUAUAGGUCAGGGCUACUUUUUUUUUUUUUUUGGCCUCCCUGCCCGCCCCCCGUACGCCC
This 4529-nucleotide long non-coding RNA is filed under the name Canis lupus familiaris (dog). RNAcentral describes it as "lncRNA (ENSCAFG00000042656.2)". Lineage: Eukaryota; Metazoa; Chordata; Mammalia; Carnivora; Canidae. The record is from RNAcentral.